This 305-nucleotide ribosomal RNA is filed under the name uncultured bacterium. RNAcentral's name for it is "bacterial SSU rRNA". It matches the Rfam family "Bacterial small subunit ribosomal RNA", at positions 333 to 654 of the family's 1533-position model. The record is from RNAcentral.
UAUUCCCUACGGGGCGCAGCAGUGGGGAAUAUUGCACAAUGGGGGGAACCCUGAUGCAGCGACGCCGCGUGAGUGAAGAAGUAUUUCGGUAUGUAAAGCUCUGUCAGCAGGGAAGAAGAAAGACGGUACCUGACCAAGAAGCCCCGGCUAACUACGUGCCAGCAGCCGCGGUAAUACGUAGGGGGCAAGCGUUAUCCGGAUUUACUGGGUGUAAAGGGAGCGUAGGCGGUGCAGCAAGUCAGAAGUGAAAGCCCGGGGCUCAACUCCGGGACUGCUUUUGAAACUGUUGAACUAGAGUGCAGGAG